This 420-nucleotide ribosomal RNA is filed under the name Klebsiella pneumoniae. Its description in RNAcentral is "partial 23S ribosomal RNA". It matches the Rfam family "Bacterial large subunit ribosomal RNA", at positions 2297 to 2716 of the family's 2925-position model. The record is from RNAcentral. Lineage: Bacteria; Pseudomonadati; Pseudomonadota; Gammaproteobacteria; Enterobacterales; Enterobacteriaceae.
GUAACGGAGGAGCACGAAGGUUAGCUAAUCCUGGUCGGACAUCAGGAGGUUAGUGCAAUGGCAUAAGCUAGCUUGACUGCGAGCGUGACGGCGCGAGCAGGUGCGAAAGCAGGUCAUAGUGAUCCGGUGGUUCUGAAUGGAAGGGCCAUCGCUCAACGGAUAAAAGGUACUCCGGGGAUAACAGGCUGAUACCGCCCAAGAGUUCAUAUCGACGGCGGUGUUUGGCACCUCGAUGUCGGCUCAUCACAUCCUGGGGCUGAAGUAGGUCCCAAGGGUAUGGCUGUUCGCCAUUUAAAGUGGUACGCGAGCUGGGUUUAGAACGUCGUGAGACAGUUCGGUCCCUAUCUGCCGUGGGCGCUGGAGAAUUGAGGGGGGCUGCUCCUAGUACGAGAGGACCGGAGUGGACGCAUCACUGGUGUU